GGAGGCGCAUGCCCUUUCCGCCAAAGGAGGCGACUCCGGUGCCGGCUGGGCACGCGUGACAUUAGCUAGUUGGCGGGGCGACGGCCCACCAAGGCGACGAUGUCUAGGGGUUCUGAGAGGAAGGUCCCCCACACUGGUACUGAGACACGGACCAGACUCCUACGGAAGGCAGCAG
RNAcentral lists this ribosomal RNA (175 nucleotides) under uncultured bacterium. Its description in RNAcentral is "partial 16S ribosomal RNA". It matches the Rfam family "Bacterial small subunit ribosomal RNA", at positions 181 to 354 of the family's 1533-position model. The record is from RNAcentral.